Molecule: ribosomal RNA, 392 nt
Filed under: uncultured bacterium
Lineage: Bacteria
Description: partial 16S ribosomal RNA
Rfam family: Bacterial small subunit ribosomal RNA
Source: RNAcentral
AUACGGAGGAUCCGAGCGUUAUCCGGAUUUAUUGGGUUUAAAGGGUGCGCAGGCGGCCAUUUAAGUCAGCGGUUAAAUCGUGGGGCUCAACCCCAUUCUGCCGUUGAUACUGGGUGGCUUGAUUGCGGUCGAGGUUGGCGGAAUUCGUUGUGUAGCGGUGUAAUGCAUAGAUAUGACGAAGAACACCGAUUGCGUAGGCAGCUGACCAGACCGCAAAUGACGCUCAUGCACGAAAGUGCGGGGAUCGAACAGGAUUAGAUACCCUGGUAGUCCGCACAGUAAACGAUGAAUACUUGUUUUCGGCGAUAUAAUGUCGGAGGCAAAGCGAAAGCGAUAAGUAUUCCACCUGGGGAGUACGCCGGCAACGGUGAAACUCAAAUGAAUUGGCGGGG